CUUGUAGUUAUGCAAAAAGCAGAGACACAAGCUACCUAAUGCCCAGCCAUCUCAUAUCCCUUCUCAGCACCUACCUGUUUCCAGACACCUCAGUUCAGCAGGAAUUUUUGUUUGCUGUUGUCUUAAUGUCCAAUCCAGCUGGAACUAGAAGGAUCAAGCAGUGCAGUUAGGUUUUGCAGGGUGAUUUUUCUGAAGCUGCAAGUACUUGUGAUGCCUGGAAGUCUCUAUUGGUGUGCUGCAGCUGGCUGUAGUUCCCAGAGGAAAUAGGUGGUGAGCAAAAGUUGAAAUUAAGAGAAGGAAAAUCUGACAAACCAAAAUGAAGUAGUGAAGAGUUCUGCAAUCUGUGCACAGGAAGGUGGAUUCCUUUUUACUACAUUAAAGAUAUGUUCACAAUAAGGGAAGCUACCUACACAAAACUCUUGAGGUCCAGCAUGAAGAAUCAAUAGCUAAUAUCAGUUCGGAAGAAUUGGAACAGGAGAUAUCCAGCUCCAGGACUGCAGACAAGACAAGUAUUAGAUUCUUUAUGCAUGUGUUAGCUGCUUACUGCUGUGUGGUAGAAUGGUCAGAGUUAAAAGUUUGCUGUUGAUAAAGAAGACAUCAUAUUAUAUCUUA
Passer domesticus (house sparrow) is the source of this 612-nucleotide long non-coding RNA. RefSeq lists it as uncharacterized. The transcript is spliced from 6 exons. The record is from RefSeq and is a predicted model, not a curated record. Lineage: Eukaryota; Metazoa; Chordata; Aves; Passeriformes; Passeridae.